Molecule: long non-coding RNA, 684 nt
Organism: Lolium rigidum
Lineage: Eukaryota; Viridiplantae; Streptophyta; Magnoliopsida; Poales; Poaceae
Exons: 4
Source: RefSeq, a predicted model, not a curated record
UGAGGAGAUGGUGGCGGCGUCCUUCAACACUGCCAAGGUCCUGGCGACAGUGGCCGUGUCCUUUCCGUGUCCUCCUCUGGGGGCUUGCGCAACACCUGGGUUUCGUCCGCACAGUCUCCUCCGACGUCCUUGCCAGGAGCAAGGCAGCUUAUACCCCUGUUGUUCAGCUGGUAUGAACAAAUCAGUUCUCGUAGUACUAUUUGGCACGGUGGAGUGGCUGGGUGUGUCCGUCCGUGUUCGCCCUUGUUGGCGGAGAAUAUGGAGCAAGAUGAGGUGAUUGAGGAUGUGCCAAGCAGCGCAUCAUAUUUUUGGUGACAUAAAGAUACAAGAAGGAGUGCAAUUGCACGUUCAAGCUACGGUGGUGCUGGACGCAGCCUCCUACGCAAAUGCGUGGUUUUAAUCCUGGUCAUCAUUCGGCUUUGACUACCUCAUCUACUUCCUCUUCGACUCCUGCCGCCAUGUGAUGACCGCGAGUUCACCGUGACCCAACUGGGGCAGCGGUGGCCUUCUUCUCCGCCUCCAUGUUUUUGGAUGACUAUGACAUCCAGCCCGACCAGAAGGUAGCUUGCCUCCAUCACCACUCCAAGACGAUUCUUUUUUCCUGUUUCUGGUGUGCUCUAGCCUCUACCUAGUUGUAAACUAGCUAGUAAUGUCCCUUGUCUUCAACACAAUUAUAAACUAGCU